Molecule: long non-coding RNA, 2289 nt
Organism: Anopheles arabiensis
Lineage: Eukaryota; Metazoa; Arthropoda; Insecta; Diptera; Culicidae
Exons: 3
Source: RefSeq, a predicted model, not a curated record
AAGCUUGCCGGUGAUGUGCGCGUUGAAGAGCUACGUAGUUUGCUGUUGAAUCUGAAAGUGGAUGGAAGAGAAAUUGUUGAGUGAUAACAAAUCUUAUAGUUAUUUUGUGGUUUUGAUCCAAGUGAUACUGUUCACCAACCUGCACCUUAACAACCUACUUUGUGGGGCUGAUUGAAACCCGACUUCAACAUUGCGUGCUUCAACAGCGUUCAAUAUAGCUUUUUAUAUUUUGAUGAUCCAGCUUUGUCAGCAUAGUGUUUUGUAAGGGGUUACCUGAAUCAUUGGAAGAUAUUAUGCCUUUUUCAAUUAUAACGACGCAUGGCCCAAAAGGCUUUUCUGAACUUACACUAGUGCCAGAUGGUUGGAUCCAGAGUACCAGUGCUGGGAAAAGUUAUGUGUAUUGGCCCAAAGGAGACAUAGCUAAGCUGAUCAAAGUUGAAACAAGUACUCCUUCAUCUGGAUGGACGAGACAAGCGUGUGUAGUUCAAAAAUCAAAUAUUUUAUCUUUACAACAAGGUAUAGCUAUACUUAGCGAUAUGUCAGGAGAAUCGAGUGAUGAUUCUUGUAUCAUACAAUCCGUAAAAACUAUGUAUAGGCAGCGAUUUGGCCAGAGAGCAUUAGAAAAUGCUAACAAAGUUAACGCCUUGUCUGAAAAUUGUAUACAGUUAGAAACAGGCACUUUAGCUACAGGUUGCUCACAAUUCAAGACAGACACUUUAGCUAAAGGUGGUUCACAGUUAGAGAGAGACAUUUUACCGUAUGGUUGUGCACAAUUAGAUACAAAUACUUCACCCAAAGGUUGUUCACAGUUAGAAACAGACACUACGAAUGAAUUCAUGGAAUCAGCACAGCCGAGUGUUGCACCAGAAACGACUAGAAAGGAUUUUCCUUCAGUUCCUUCUCAAUUAGAGCAAAAUAAUAGCUUUUCUCCUACAAAUCACAUGGAAAAUGCAAUCACAAGUUUGAUCGCUGUUGUAGGUGGUUUAAUUCAACAAAUCAGCGACAUAAAUUCCAACAAACUGAUAGGAUUAGAUAAAAUUGAUAAUUUAACAAUAGUACUAGAGCAGCAGAUCGUACCAACGUUAGGUGGUCUUGUAGAGGAAUUUAAAGAGUUAAAAAAAAAGUUAAUUUAAAUACGGUACAAAUGGAUCUGUUCAUUAACAGUUUGGAGCAAGAAAACAGAAAAAGAAAAAAACCAUCAUUUUCAAUGGAUCCGAUCGAUAACCAUAAAGAUUUAAAGGAUUUUGACAAAAGUCUUGAGGAAGACGAUUUUAAAACAUCUGUUAUUGAUUGGCUUACCCAUAACAUAUGUGAAACAAACAGUAAUAAUAGAAUGUUAGAUGCUUUGGAUAUGUUACUGAAUCGUUCAUUUUGUACGCAAAUUAGUUGGUCAGGACAAGGCAAAGAAAACUCGAAAAUACCGAUAAAAAUGUUUCCUAAUUUCUUAGAAGUUUUUAGAGAGAUAGGUACAACCCAUUUGACUUUGGUAACAGAUCAAUGCUUGAAAGAUUUUUUCAUAAAAAAAUUAAAGCAUAGCCAAGAAAGAUGCAUGAUUCAAGGGUUACGAAAACCUACUUCUCACAACAAAAGAUGUUGAUGUUAAGAAGUUUUUGAAUACAUUUAUUAAUUAAUAAUAAAAAGAUUAAAAACUUGGUCGCAUUAUGUUUCUACAGAAUGUGUUUAAAAAUAACAGAAACGUGAAUUGCCAUAAAAAAUGAAUUCUCGUAAAACCAUUUAACUAAGGCUUACUAUACGCUCUAUAUAUUAGUUAAAUUUGAUUCAAUUUGACAUGUUUGUUUAGUUGUUAACUACAUAACUAAUUUCUAUUCUAUAAAAGUGUGUAGUAGCGGAAUGAAAAAAAAAUUGGAUCCAUCAGGUUCGACACUAUUAAUUGCUACCAGCUUACAUUUUACAUCUUCACAUCUGUAUUCGGACGCUGAACGAGUAAUUUUCUUUAUAUCACCUUCAAACGCAUGCAAUAUUUGUGAAGAAAAUGGACUAUCAAAUGCAUCAUAACAAUCAAGUAAUUUGAAACCCUGAAUAACAAUUGAUCCGUGUUCUUUAGUAGCAGAAUGGUACUUCACAAUACAAUUAUCAGUUGUCAAAAACCAAGAAUCAGGAAAAUAAUUUCUCAGUAGACAACCACUUCGUAAAUGUAACUGCAUGCUACCAUUUUUUUGAAUUUUAAGGAAAGGAAAUUGUACUUUAGUCAUAUUUAUAGGUUUAAAAUUCAUUAAUUCAAUUUUUCUAUUAGCUAUCUGUUGCAAAUUUUUGUAUCCUGAUCUGAGC